GAUGAACGCUGGCUCCAGGCUUAACACAUGCAAGUCGAGGGGAAACGACGGGGAAGCUUGCUUCCCCGGGCGUCGACCGGCGCACGGGUGAGUAACGCGUAUCCAACCUGCCUCUGACUGAGGGAUAACCCGUCGAAAGUCGGCCUAAUACCUCAUGGUAUCGUCUGCGGGCAUCCAACGACGAUUAAAGAUUUCAUCGGUCAGGGUUGGGGAUGCGUCUGAUUAGCUUGUUGGCGGGGUAACGGCCCACCAAGGCUACGAUCAGUAGGGGUUCUGAGAGGAAGGUCCCCGACAGUGGAACUGAGACACGGUCCAAACACCUACGGGAGGCAGCAGUGAGGAAUAUUGGUCAAUGGGCGAGAGCCUGAACCAGCCAAGUAGCGUGCAGGAAGACGGCCCUAUGGGUUGUAAACUGCUUUUAUGCGGGGAUAAAGUGAGGGACGGGUCCCUCAUUGCAGGUACCGAAUGAAUAAGGACCGGCUAAUUCCGUG
This 491-nucleotide ribosomal RNA is filed under the name uncultured bacterium. Its description in RNAcentral is "partial 16S ribosomal RNA". It matches the Rfam family "Bacterial small subunit ribosomal RNA", at positions 28 to 507 of the family's 1533-position model. The record is from RNAcentral.